AGAUGAGCUAAGUCUUCCAUUUUCUGUCUCAAUUUUUCAAGGUAAGCAUAACUUUUACUUAUUGAAGAAUGAUUUUAGAUUUUAGGAUUCAUGGAAAUUUCUUAAAUUCAAGAUUUAAGAAGAAUUAAAGGUUAUUAGUAGGUAUUUGUGGUUUUAAAUAAGAACAUAUCAAAGAAAUGUAUAUUUAGAAGAUUUGUGUUGAAGGGAGAAAAAAAAUAUAUGAAAUGGGUUUGUAAAUUAAAGCCUAAAUCUUCAUAUUUAUUGUGUGUAUAUGAUAUAAAACACUUGAUUUAUGAUAUAUUACCAUGAGAUAUGGAGUUGAAGUUGGAUUUUGGUAUUUUUUAAUUAAUUUUCGGGCAAAGUUCAUGCAAUGAUGCUACUUUUGAAAUUCUGCCCAAAAAAUGAUGUUUUUGUCAAAUAUUUUGGAGCCAGUUUUUCAUAAAUAGGAAAUGGUGCCAGAUUUCUAAAUUCUAGAAAUACGGUGCUGUUCUUGGUAAUCUUUUGUUUUGUUUUUUGUUUUUUGCUUUUUGUUUUUGUUUUUUUUUUUUUUUUUUUUUUGUUUUUUUGUUUUUUUUUUUUUUUUUCUUUUUUUUUUUUUUAUUUUUUUUUUUUUGUUUUUGGAUUUUUAGUAUGAAAACCAAAUUAAGUAUUAAAUAGUAGGGAUUAGAUGUCAAAAUAACUUAUAUAAAGGUGUAUAUGUUAUUAGUACCCUAAUUGGGAUUAUGACAUUACAUUGAAAAUAAAAGAUUUCAAAUUCUUAUUGGUAAAUUGUCAUUUCUAAUGGUAGAAAAAAUGCCUAAAGCACUCUAGUAGUGAGAUAUUAAUUCUUGGGAUGAGUGUGAGAUGUCAUACUUGGUAUUUGAAUGUGAGGAGGUGACAAGAAUAUUGAAGUCACGAUCAAUCUACAACUUAGUGAGUGCAUAUAAACUUACUUUUCAGAAAUUAGUUUUUAUUAAAUUUAUAUUAGAUCAGAAAACUUAUUAUUUCAUACAGUUGAUUUGACAGCAUAAUUUUUAGAACAAAAGUGAAUUUUAUAGUCCUUUUUUUAUAAAUUUAAAUUUAGUACAUUUAAAUAAUUUUCUUAGCAUGUUAUAUUUGCAUUACAUAUUUCUGUAUACUUAAAGUUAUUUUUAAAACCACCAUAAUGUACCCAUGUAAUUUUAUCAUAGUCUACAAAUGUGUGAAUAUGUUUCUACAGUGUAUGACUCUCUAUGGUUAUUUUAUCGACUCUACAUUGGUGUGAAUAUGUUUCUACAAUGUAUGAUCAGUUAUGGUGAUUUUACUCACUCUACACUAUUGUGAAUGUGUUUCUUAGUGUAUGCUCAGAUUAUAGACUUCGAGCAGCUCAGAAUUUCAGAAUUUUAGAAUUACAGAAUUGAUUAACUUCGCCAUGUAUAUCGAUGUUAAUCGAUACAUGAGUAAGGUUAUUUCGGAUACCUUUUUGUUGUGAUUUUUCAGUAUUAUAUAGUUUAUCAGAUUUUAGACUACAGAUUUAGCUUAUUCAGUUUUUAGAGUAAUGAUUUCAACUUGUAAUAUUGUGAAAUGAUAUUUUCACUUAUAUUUACUGAUAUUGGAUUAUUUAUAUUUAUUACAACUUACAGUUGCGUAUCUAGAAUUAAGAACAAAGAAUUUUAUGAUGCAAUAAUGUUUCAUUUUAAAAGUGUUACUAAAUUUCAGAAUUUCUCAAAAUUUUAAUAGAGCAAAAAUUUUCAGAAAAUAUGCACAAAUGGAAAAAGAAUACUCAUUAACAAAUUAUCCACUCAUUAAGUUAUAAGCUCAUAUUUUUUUUUAUCACUCUUUCUCUUACCAUAUAGUAGUUGAGUUGAGCACCAUUGGAACCAGUUGAUCUAACACGUUGAGCCAUACAUUGUCAAUCGUUGUAUGAUUCAUCUUAUUAGUUUAUAUAGUUCAUAUUUUGGGAUAGACACGUCUUUUGGUCCGAAAAUAUUUCCAUGUCAUGGGCCUGUUGUGUUUUGUCUAUAUUAUGUAUUUGAGAACGUUUGUUUGUAAAUAAUUGUAAAGGUCGGUUACUAGUGUAGUAUUUUGAAUAGUUGUGCUUUGAGGGGCUGGUGUACCUAUUUUAAUUUACAUGUACAUGUAAUAUUUCCAAAUUUUGCCUGAAUAAUCUUGAGGAGUAGCGGCCUUCUUCCCCUUCUUUGCCACCCAGGUAAAUUCGAAUACGGACGCAACUUAUACAUACUUGGACCAGACAUUCAGGAUACAAUUUUUCUCUGUAGACCUCCCUUUAUGACGUGUAGACAAGACCCUUGGAGGGGCGACAAAGCGCACUAUAAUUUUGCCUCUACAGGACAACUGCAUUCCAACAUAAAUGUUGCCUUCCAAUUGCCACGGGGAAUCGAAUCUCCGAUGCUUCUUAUAGAACCUGCUUGCUUUACCACUGCGCCAUGCCCGUGGGGACUACAUGUUUGGGAUAUUUGAUUACAUAUCAGGUGGUUUUUAGUUCAUAUUUCAGAGGAAAUUUUGUCAAAAUUUUAUAAAAAUAUGUCACGGUCAAAGCAGGUCAAGGUUACCUUAAUGGUGGUUCCAACACUUAGUUGGUAUCUACCAUCGACGCACGACACGUUUCGGAUCCAAUAGGGUGAUUUAGGACGGGUCGUAUCACACAUACUUUUAUAAGGAUCUUGUUUUGACAUGGUAUAUGUUACCUCCAGGAGAUUUUAGAAUAAAAUUUAUUUAUUUUAUAUUUUAUAUAUUUACAUUUUUGAAAGUUGAGGACUAAAAUGAAAAAUGCUUUAAAUUUCUACUUUAUUUGUUCCAAAUAAUUAGAUUUUGAUAGAGUGAUAUUUAAUAUAUUAAUAUUAGACUCAUUUUAUAGGUCGUAAUUAAUUAGAUGUUUUUGACUCGAGAAAAAGUUAUUUUGGAUAAAAACACAUUAAGUUAGACUCAAUUAAAAGAAAAUAGGAUAAAUAGAAAUUUAUGUAAAUUAUAAAUCAAUUCAUUUUCUCUCUCUAAAAACGUGCAAAGUGGGUAUUGAAUUUUAAUUUUUAGUUUAAUAUUAAUCUAUUUUGAAUUCGAUGUGAUAGCUAGUAUCCUAUUUGGAUAACUAUGAAUUUUUUAUUAAAAUAUAAUCCAAAACUAGGUUUUAUCCAAAAGGGUACAUGUUUUCUAUUAUAACUCAACCAUUUUUUAUUACUAUAACUACUAUACAUGAAUUUCAUAAUUCACACACCAAAAUUUAUACACACGAGAGAGAGAGAGAGAGAGAGAGAGAGAGAGAGGAUACUUUUGGAAACUAGAAGACAGGAAACUAUUUUGCAAUUCUUAAAUAAACGAGGUAAGAUACUUUAGGUGCAAGUGUUUUUGUUUCCUUAUGUGUUUAUAUUCAAUUAAAAAUGCAUAGAUUACCAGUAGACAUUCGUUUUCUUUAAAAAGAGAUAUGAAAUUCUACGGGAUUAUAAGAGGACCUAAGAUGGGUGUGUCGUUUGGUCACCGAUAUACUUUAUAAGAUCAGACGGUAUGAAGUGUAAUUUUUAUUGUUAUAUAUAUGUAUAUGGAAACUGUAUGUAUCUAACUGGGUGUUCUCGAAUACUCACUCUUACAAAUUUUUACAGAUUAGUUCGAGUCGAUUGAAUUUGUAGUAGGGCAGUGAUGCGGGCUGGCAAGAGGAUUGUAGUAACAAAGCAAAUUUUUCAUUAAGUUUUUCUGCCUUCAUUUAUUUUUUAAUUUAUUUUAAGGUAUGUUUAGUGUUAUUUUCCA
RNAcentral lists this long non-coding RNA (3717 nucleotides) under Olea europaea (common olive). RNAcentral's name for it is "long non-coding RNA (OEUR_LNC000639)". The record is from RNAcentral. Lineage: Eukaryota; Viridiplantae; Streptophyta; Magnoliopsida; Lamiales; Oleaceae.